Molecule: ribosomal RNA, 1141 nt
Filed under: Candidatus Synechococcus spongiarum
Lineage: Bacteria; Bacillati; Cyanobacteriota; Cyanophyceae; Synechococcales; Synechococcaceae
Description: bacterial SSU rRNA
Rfam family: Bacterial small subunit ribosomal RNA
Source: RNAcentral
CGAAAGCCUGACGGAGCAACGCCGCGUGAGGGAUGGAGGCCUUUGGGCUGUAAACCUCUUUUCUCAAGGAAGAAGAUCUGACGGUACUUGAGGAAUAAGCCACGGCUAAUUCCGUGCCAGCAGCCGCGGUAAUACGGGAGUGGCAAGCGUUAUCCGGAAUUAUUGGGCGUAAAGCGUCCGCAGGCGGCCGUUUAAGUCUGUUGUUAAAUCGUGGAGCUCAACUCCAUCACGGCAAUGGAAACUGUUCGGCUUGAGUAUGGUAGGGGCAGAGGGAAUUUCCGGUGUAGCGGUGAAAUGCGUAGAUAUCGGGAAGAACACCAGUGGCGAAAGCGCUCUGCUGGGCCAUUACUGACGCUCAUGGACGAAAGCCAGGGGAACGAAAGGGAUUAGAUACCCCUGUAGUCCUGGCCGUAAACGAUGAACACUAGAUGUUGGGGGAAUCGACCCCCUCGGUGUCGUAGCUAACGCGUUAAGUGUUCCGCCUGGGGAGUACGCACGCAAGUGUGAAACUCAAAGGAAUUGACGGGGGCCCGCACAAGCGGUGGAGUAUGUGGUUUAAUUCGAUGCAACGCGAAGAACCUUACCAAGGCUUGACAUCCUGCGAAUCUCUAAGAAAUUAGAGAGUGCCUUCGGGAACGCAGUGACAGGUGGUGCAUGGCUGUCGUCAGCUCGUGUCGUGAGAUGUUGGGUUAAGUCCCGCAACGAGCGCAACCCACGUUUUUAGUUGCCAGCAUUCAGUUGGGCACUCUAGAAAGACUGCCGGUGACAAACCGGAGGAAGGUGUGGACGACGUCAAGUCAUCAUGCCCCUUACGCCUUGGGCUACACACGUACUACAAUGCUGCGGACAAAGAGUAGCGAUCUUGCGAAAGUUAGCUAAUCUCAUAAACCGUGGCUCAGUUCAGAUCGUAGGCUGCAACUCGCCUACGUGAAGGAGGAAUCGCUAGUAAUCGCAGGUCAGCAUACUGCGGUGAAUACGUUCCCGGGCCUUGUACACACCGCCCGUCACACCAUGGAAGUUGGCCAUGCCCGAAGUCGUUACUCUAACCUUUUGGAAGAGGGCGCCGAAGGCAGGGCUAAUGACUGGGGUGAAGUCGUAACAAGGUAGCCGUAGCGGAAGCUGCGGCUGGAUCACCUCCUAA